AUCAGGAUGUAUAGCUCCUGCAUAGAAUUGUGUCGUCACAUAUCCUGCAUUUUUAUCGAAAAUGGUUUGACCUCCGUUUUCGCUCAGCCAGAUUCCUCCAUCAUUUCCAAAGAGGACUCUUCCUUGUUUUUUAGGGUCGAAGGUGAUGUUGUGCUGGUCAGCGUGCAAACCUCCGGGUAAGAAAGACCAGGAAAUACCCUGGAAACUACUUUCUAAAGCUGGCACACCCCCUGCUAUGAUUCGGCCACAAUUAAAUGGGUCGGCUGCUAUUUCGAGAUCAUACCAUGCCUGCAUAUUGGUGAAGUCUUGUCCAGCGGAAAGUCCGGGAGCAGACCGUGAUAUCCAACUUUCGCCUCCAUUGUUGGAGACAUAUGUAUUGGAAGCAGAUCCACCAACAGAUCCAAGAACAUACAUCACAUCAGGAUUUGAUGCGCAUACGGCAAGUUCUGUUCUGAUAAGGUUUGUAGGAAAUCCAGGUUUGGCUGUUCCGAUAUUAGUCCAUUCUCCUCUGUUACCUGUAGUUGAUUUGAAAACAGAGUUUUCAUUCGAGGUAUAGAAUGUCUGAUUCACCUCAUUGUAUAUAAAAUCAAAAAAAUUAUUGUUGCUUGCUCCGGAAAGGGAAACGCCUAACACUCUUUCCCAGGUAUUGCCCGCGUCUCUACUUUUUAAUAAUCCACCGGACGCUGUACCCGCGUACACAUCACCAUUGGUAUGUACAUAGAUUUCAUGGACGUCCUGGAAAUUGCUUCCUUUGGUUGAUGCAAGCCAUUCCCAGGUUUCUCCAUCAUCGAAGGAUUUAAAGAUCCCCGCUCCUGUAACUGCAUCAAUGUUUGGAAAACCUUCACCAGUUCCGACAUAGAUAAUAUCAUGGUCAUUCGGAUCCUGUGCGAUACAACCUAUAGCCAGGUUGUCCACUUGCAGGGUCAAUUUUCUCCAUUGUGGAUUUUGCUGCGUGAUAUCUUCAGUGCGCCAUACACCACCUGAUACGCUACCAAUCCAAAUCCGGUUACGGUUAGGAUCUCCGGCAUCGAUCAUGAUCGCACGCGUUCUACCCCAAUAUUGUUGGGACCUCUUUCACGCCAGACCGCAUUCGUCAGGCUUACCCCACCGCUACGGUUAUUUGCAUGCGUUGGAUUUUCAAUCCGCCUUUGGCCUUCAGCGAUUGCACUAAAGAGUUUGUGAUAAGGGAUAUAACCAAGAUCAAUAUCUCUUGAGGUAAAAAUCAUAUCCUCUAUAGCUCCUUCGAUCCUUUGCUCCUUGGUGAGUUUCCCUGGCUUUGGAGAAGAGGUCUCAUUGAAGUAAGGUGUAAAAAAAAGUAGGGCUAUUGCAAAUACAGGAAUGAGGUAUAAGAGUUUGCGCAUUCUCAGGUUCUUAUUUUUAAUUUAAUUCAAUCUCCGGCAAUGCCUUUCAAGGUUACU
RNAcentral lists this unclassified non-coding RNA (1418 nucleotides) under uncultured fungus. RNAcentral's name for it is "sequence contains 18S rRNA gene, ITS1, 5.8S rRNA gene, ITS2, 28S rRNA gene". Lineage: Eukaryota; Fungi. The record is from RNAcentral.